Molecule: ribosomal RNA, 250 nt
Filed under: Synchroma pusillum
Lineage: Eukaryota; Synchromophyceae; Synchromales; Synchromaceae
Description: partial Bacterial large subunit ribosomal RNA
Rfam family: Bacterial large subunit ribosomal RNA
Source: RNAcentral
AUGGGGGAUGCCUAGGCUCCCAGAGGCGACGAAGGACGUGAUAAGCUGCGAAAAGCCGCGGGGAUCGGCACACACGAUAUGAUCCGCGGAUGUCCGAAUGGGGCAACCCACCAUACUGAAGGUAUGGUACCCCGCAAGGGGGGCGAACCCGGUGAACUGAAACAUCUAAGUAGCCGGAGGAGGAGAAAACAAGAGUGAUUCCGGUAGUAGCGGCGAGCGAAACCGGAGAAGCCCAAACCACGUUUGUUUC